This 499-nucleotide unclassified non-coding RNA is filed under the name uncultured Scutellospora. RNAcentral's name for it is "SSU rRNA". It matches the Rfam family "Eukaryotic small subunit ribosomal RNA", at positions 569 to 1072 of the family's 1831-position model. The record is from RNAcentral. Lineage: Eukaryota; Fungi; Glomeromycota; Glomeromycetes; Diversisporales; Gigasporaceae.
AGCAGCCGCGGUAAUUCCAGCUCCAAUAGCGUAUAUUAAAGUUGUUGCAGUUAAAAAGCUCGUAGUUGAAUUUCGGGACCAAUUUGUUGGUCGUGCCUCGGUACGUACUGGUAUUAUUGGUUUCUCCCUUCUGAAGAACCUCGAUGCCAUUAAUUUGGUGUCGUGGGGAAUCAGGACUGUUACUUUGAAAAAAUUAGAGUGUUUAAAGCAAGCAUACGCUUGAAUACAUUAGCAUGGAAUAAUGAAAUAGGACGUUUGAUUCUAUUUUGUUGGUUUUUAGGAUCGACGUAAUGAUUAAUAGGGAUAGUUGGGGGCAUUAGUAUUCAAUUGUCAGAGGUGAAAUUCUUGGAUUUAUUGAAGACUAACUACUGCGAAAAGCAUUUGCCAAGGAUGUUUUCAUUAAUCAAGAACGAAAGUUAGGGGAUCGAAGACGAUCAGAUACCGUCGUAGUCUUAACCAUAAACUAUGCCGACUAGGGAUCGGAUGAUGUUAAUUUUUU